RNAcentral lists this ribosomal RNA (500 nucleotides) under uncultured bacterium. RNAcentral's name for it is "partial 16S ribosomal RNA". It matches the Rfam family "Bacterial small subunit ribosomal RNA", at positions 30 to 523 of the family's 1533-position model. The record is from RNAcentral.
AUUGAACGCUGGCGGCAUGCCUUACACAUGCAAGUCGAACGGCAGCACGGGAGCAAUCCUGGUGGCGAGUGGCGAACGGGUGAGUAAUGUAUCGGAACGUGCCCAGUCGUGGGGGAUAACGUAGCGAAAGCUACGCUAAUUCCGCAUACGAUCUGUGGAUGAAAGCGGGGGACCGUAAGGCCUCGCGCGAUUGGAGCGGCCGAUAUCAGAUUAGGUAGUUGGUGGGGUAAAGGCCUACCAAGCCGACGAUCUGUAGCUGGUCUGAGAGGACGACCAGCCACACUGGGACUGAGACACGGCCCAGACUCCUACGGGAGGCAGCAGUGGGGAAUUUUGGACAAUGGGCGCAAGCCUGAUUCGGCAAUGCCGCGUGCAGGAUGAAGGCCUUCGGGUUGUAAACUGCUUUUGUACGGAGCGAAAAGGCUCUCUCUAAUACAGGGGGCUCAUGACGGUACCGUAAGAAUAAGCACCGGCUAACUACGUGCCAGCAGCCGCGGUAA